This 6280-nucleotide long non-coding RNA is filed under the name Sus scrofa (pig). RNAcentral describes it as "lncRNA (ENSSSCG00015077258.1)". Lineage: Eukaryota; Metazoa; Chordata; Mammalia; Artiodactyla; Suidae. The record is from RNAcentral.
AUGGGGACUGGUGGGCGGCGAGGGGGGAAAGCCCCGGAUGUUCGUUGGGGAUUCAACAUGGCGGCAGCAGUGGCCGUGGUGGCGGCGGCGCAAGAGAGCUGAGGGCGGCGUGAGCGCGCCAAGUUCCGGGCCGAGCAGCUAGGCCGCGAGCGACUGCGGUGCCGAGCCGGACUGUCGGCUCCAGGAAGGAGGGGCUGUCUUCACUGCCGGGUCCCCCGUGCCUACAACAGUGCCUGGCACACACUGAGUGCACAGUAAAGGAUUGUUUGGAGUUCCUGUCAUGGCUCAGCUGUUAAUGGAUCCAACUAGCAUCCAUGAGGAUGUGGGUCCGAUCUCUGGCCUCGCUCAGUGGGUUAAGGGUCCACUUAACCCCCUGAGCCGUGAGCUGGGCUAUAGGUUGCAGACUCGGCUGGGAUGUGGCGUUGCUGUGGCUCUGGCGUAGGCCAGCGGUUACAGCUGUGAUAGGACCCCUAGCCUGGGAACCUCCACAUGCUCGGGUGUGGCCCUAAAAAAAAGACAAAAAAAAAAAGGGGGGAUCGUUGAGUGCGUGACCAAGGCUGAGCGAGUGGACUCCGGCUUGGGUCAGACCUGCCGUGGAGUCCUGGCUCUGACACGCGGGGUGUGACCUCGGGCUGGCACCUCCCUGUGAGCCUCGCUUUCCUCCUCAGCAACGUGGGGUCUUCGCAGCGCCAGCUCUGCUCACUGCCACGUCUCGCGCACACCGAAGCCUCCAUCGCUGGCUUCGCUGGCGUCCUGCGUCUCCAGCACAGGGCACAGACGAGGGAGCCAGGACUGCCCCUGCCGUCCUGCCAGAUCUGAACGAACUCCUUCCACUCUGGGUGACGGGCUGGGGCGCCCCAGGACAGGGCCUCCGUGGAUGGAUGUGUUCCUGGGGCCAAAAAGGUUCCGUGGGGAGUGUGCGGCACGUGGGACCCCGGAGCGAGGGAUGUGAACAGACCUGGGUGUUGGGCUGAGUCUGAGUCUGGCUGCUUCCAGGCCUUUGUCUCCCUUGCAGGAAACAGGCCAAGAGCUGUUAGGAGGGCUGCUGCUCCCAGCCGCAAUUACAGGCUUGGGUGGGUGGGUGUGUCUGUGUCUGUGUCUGUGUCUGUGUCUGUGUCUGUGUCUGUGUCUGUGUCUGUGUGUGUGUGAUAGAGCGAGCAAAAGUUUGCCUGUCUGCGGGCACCUGCAGGUAUGGAGGGAGCUUCCAGCUGUCGGAAUUGCUACCCCUGGUGCUUCCUGCCCGGGCCUGUAAAAUGUGACACGUGUACAGAAAAGUGCAUAAAACCUCCCUUUUCGGUUCAGUGAGUGAUUACAAAGCACGCGCCCUUCUAAGGACCAAGACGAUAAGCACCCUAGGAGCCCCCUCCUCCUUGCACUCUUUCCAGCGUUACCAAAUAAAUUCAGCCCUCUUUUCCUCCUUUUAACUGUUGCCUCUUCAUUUGUGAAUUAGGAGAGAUUUCAGGUGCCCCCAGGAGAUCAGAGAAUCAUCUGAUGGACUCCCUUGGGCCCCUGCCCAGCUAAGAGAGAAAACACGCUCGCCAUGGUUGAAGUCCCCUGGGUCCCCUCCCGCAGGUACCCAGGCCUUACUGCGGUUCCUUGUUGCUUCUCUAAGCAGUAUCCGUGUUGUUCUGCAGGUUUCAAACUGUAUGUAAAUGAGACCAGGCCACCAGCGCUCGCUGCAGCUUGCUCUCAGUAUUUUGCUCUUGAGGUUUCCCGGGGUAGGAUUGUAAAUGAGUCCCCUGCCAGCAGGAGCGCUCCCCAGCGUGGGUCAGAGCUCCCCGCCACCUUCUCCCAGAGCCAGAGGAAAGCAGCCCUGCCCUGGUGGAGCCGCAGGGCUAUGUGGUGGCUAUGGGGCUCUGGGGCUCCUCUCGGCUCACAGCCCCUUGUGCCAGCCGGGUUUGGCAUCACUGCCCCAAGUGAAGGUGGGCACUUCCUGUCCCGGGAGGGCACUGCUGGCCAGGUUGACGUGGGAUUCAGGUACAGGCCUUUGACAUGUAAGGGGCCUUCCCUGACACGUGUAAGGGAUGCAGGGGUUCUGGCACCAUCCCGGGUCUGUCCGUUCCAUGGAGGAGCUGUCCCUGGAGAAGGGAAUGGAUUGGGGGCUGGGGCAGGAGGGUCUCCUCUCCCCCUGCCCCCCGCCCCUCCUGUUAGCCAGUCUCCUCCUUUCACGGAGAGGCCCUGUGGGGCAGAGAUUACUGUCAAAGGCUUUGGGUCCAGAGGCCUGGGUUUGCUACCCAGCUCUGCCACCUACUAGCAGGGAGACCUUAGGCACGUGGCUCCUCCCCCUCCCACCCCCCACCCCCAUUAGCCUCAAUCUCCCAUUUGUAAAAUGGGAUUGUUACAAAGGUUAUUUUAUCCCGGUAAAGCACGCCGAAGAGAGCUAGCACACAGAAACCUCUUAGCGAGUACUAGCUGUCAGUGUUGUUGUCGUACUGCCGUUCACUCAUUCAUUUUGUGCAUAACCACUGUGUUGCGUCUUCUGAGUCCAGCCCUGUGCUGGCUGAUGCCUGGGACAGGCUGGUGCCCUCUCUGCCCGAGGCCCUGUGCUCAUGUCCAGUGAGGGAGGCAGACACAGCCCAGAGUGACCUGGAGGAAAGCACAGGCCAGAGUGUCAAGACUUUGGUUGGAAGCCCAGAAGACUGUGGCAAGCUCUGGCUCCAGCCUAGGAAAUCAGAGAAGGCUUCCUGGAGGAGGAGACAUCUGAGCUGAGCGCUCUUAAGAGAACUAGGAGUGAGUUAGUGUGUGGAAGAUGAUGUGUGCCAAGGAGAAUGAAUAGCAUAUUCUAAGGUGAGAAAGGGUUUGGCAUUUUUAAUAAAUUGUGACUUUUAAAUUAAGCUUUUCAUUUUAAGAUCAUUGUAGAUUAACUGGGUGUUGUAAGAAAUAAGACAGAGAGAGACCUGGGACCCUUCACCCUUUUCCCCCAAUGGGACCAUCUUGCAAAAUGACAGCUAGGGCAAGACCACAACUAGGAUAUUGACGUAGAUGCAGUCAGGAUAGAGAACAGGCCAUGUCGGGAAUCCUCCUGCUGAACUUUGCAGCCACAUUCCCCCCGCCGCCCCUGGCCUUCCCUAACUCCCAGCAACCACUCCUAUCUGUUCCCCAUUUUUAUAAUUCUGUCAUUUCAGCAGUGAUAAUGUAAGUGGCAUCACACUGUAUGUAACCUUUAGGGGCUGGCUUUUUUUCACUCAGCAUAAUUCUCUGGCGAUUCAUCCAGGUUGUUGCCUGUGUCAGUAGUUCAUUCUUUUUCUUGCUGAGUACUGGAUGUGCCAUCGUUUAUUGAACCAUUCACCCACUGAGCGACAUCUGGGGCGUUUCCCGUUUGGGGCUGGUAGAAAUAAUGCUGCCAUCUACAGUCUCAUACCGGCUUUUGUGGGAAUGUAAAUUUUCAUUUUCAAUGCCCACAAGUGCAAGUGCUGGGAAGCAUGUUUAAAGAAACUGCCAAACUGUUUUCCAGAAUGCGGUACCGUUUUAUGUUCUCACCAGCAGUGUAUGAGCGAUCCGUUUUACCACAUGCUCACCAGCAAUUGGUGUUAACGCUCUUUUUUAGUUUAGCUGUUCUAAUAGUCGUAUCAUGAUAACCCAUCGUGGCUUUAAUUUGCUUUUCUCUAGGGGCUGAUGCUGUUGAGCAUCCUUUCACGAGCUUAUCUGCCAUCCGUGUAUCCUCUUUGGUGAAAUGUCUGCUGCCCAUUUUCUAAUUGGAUGGUUUGGGUUUUUUACUGUUGAGAGUUGAGAGUUCCUUAACUCUUUUAGAUAUUAGUCCUUUGUCAGAUACGUGGUUUGCACAUAUUUUCUCCCCAUCGGUAGCUUUUUGUCCUCUUCACGUGGACUUCUGCAGAGCAGAGCAGAAGUUUUUCAUUUUGAUGAGGUCUGCAUUAUUAAUUUUCCUUUGGGGUUGUGCUUUUGGUGUCAAGUCUAAGAAUUCUGUACCUAGCCCUCCAUCCCAUGUUUUCUAAAGGUUUUCAAGUUUUACAUUUUACGUUGAAGUCUGUGAUCUGUCAUGAGCUAAUUUGUGCAAAGUGUGAGGCUUUGAUGGAGGUUCCUGUUUUAGCGCGUGGAUGUCCAGUUGUUCCAGUACCAUUGGUUUCGAACGCUGUCUUUCCUCUGUUGAAUUGCUUAUGCUUCAUUGUCAAAAAUAAGUUACCACAAUGAGAUAUCACUUCACCCCUACCAGGAUGGCUGUUAUCCCCCCAACAUUGGAAAUAACAAGUAUUGAUGAGGAUGUAGAGAAAUUGGAGCCCUUGUGCAUUGCUGGUGGGAAUGUAAAAUCGUGCAGCCGCUGUGGAAAAACAGUUUGGUUACAUAUAGAACUACCGUAUCACCCAGCAAUUUGAGUCCUGGGUACAUAACCAAAAGAAUAAAAAGGACAGACUUGAACAGGUAUUUGUACACCACCGUUCAUAGUUGCAUUAUUCACAAUAGCUCAGAAGUGGAAACAACUCAAGUAUCUAUCAACAGACGAAUGGAUAAACAAAAUUUGGUGCCUCUGCACAAUGGAAUAUUAUUCAGCCAUUAAAAAGGAAUGGAGUGUUGAUGUGUGCUGCAGCGUGGAUGGACCUUGACAGCAUUAAGCUCAGUGAAAUAAGCCAGACAUGCGAGAAAUAUGGUAAGAGUUCACUUAUAUGAGGUACCCAGAGUGGGCAAACUCAUAGAGAAAGUAUGUCCUGACCACCUCCCGAGGUUCCCAGGGGCCAUGGGGAAGGAGGGCAUGGGGCGCUGUUGUUUAAUGGGCACAUGGAUUUGGUUGGAAGUGGUGACGGAGUUUGAGGUACAGGCAGUGAUGGUGGUUGUACGACACUGUGAGUGUAUGUAACUCUGUUGGAGUGUACACCUCGCAAAUGGUUACGAUGGCAGGCAUUAAGUGUAUUUUACCACAAUGAAAAAAAUCAAUGUUUUCAGACCCCCUUGGGUGCAUCUGUGUGGGCAUGUGUCUGGGUUCUCCAUUCGUUCACUGGCCAGGGUAUUGACCACCGCUGUCCUGAUGACCAUAGCAGUGCAGUGGGCCUUACUGUCGGUGUCUCACUUUCCAUCUUUUUCACAGUUGAGAUUCUGGGGCCUGGGGCGUGGCAUUUUGGGAGCUCCUCUCAGGCUCCCUUGUGUGGAAGAUGGCACUGCGGCUUAACCCACUUUCACAGUCACCCUUGGCACCUGCCUUGCCCUCAGCCCCCGUAUCUGACUCAUCCGCAGGAGCUGCUUUUUUCUUUUGACAAACAUAGUUCUGGUCUGCGCUCCUCUCUCCGUGUCCAGCCGUCGUGCCGCCUCCUUCAGUUGUCUGGAGCACAUUAGUCUUUCCACUUGUCCCCAUGCCCUCUCGGGACCUACUUGAUCCCGUCCUCCACCGGCAAGGCAGCCAGAGUUACAUCUUCCAAAUGGAGGUCCGUCCCCAGUGCCUGCCUGGGCUCCCCACCUACCCCGUGGCCUGGCUCCUGCCCUCCUCCAGCCUGGCUUCCUCGUGCUCUCAUCCCUCCAGCCAGCCCGUCUCAGCUGGAAUUUCGCGUCUCAUCUGUGAUCCUGGACCACAAGCCCCCCAGGGCAGAGACCAUGCUGCGCCCCCACCCCAGCCUGGAUGGCAGGUGGUGGACACGCAUUGCAUUUCUGUUGACAGAAUCCAGAGAGAGGCGUGGGAAGGAGCCAGGGCUGGAGAGUGAGGAUGAGGCUGGAGAAGUGGGAGUAGCUGGGGUGGGUUGACAAAGGUCUUCCUGACCUCGCAGAAAAGUAGGCAAACAUUUUGAAGACACAUUUAGCAACAAAGGAAUUCUGAUGGGGUUUUUGAUAUGAAAGGAGGCGCAGUUACUGAGUAGAAAACUGCAUGGGAAAAGCAGGCUGAGAGGGGCCAGACUUCACCUCUCUGGCCUGCAAAGAUCACAGGCUUUUGCAGCAACAUGGAUGGACCUAGAGAUCCUGAUAGUAAGUGAAGUGAGUCAGACAGUGAAAGACAAACGUCAUGUGAUAUCACUUAUAUGUGGAAUCUAAAAAAGGUUGCAGAUGAAAUUUGCAGAAUAGAAACACACUCACGGACUUUGAAAAGGGGACAGGCGAAGGGGGCGGUGGAUGGACUGGGGGUUUGGGAUUGGCAUGUGCACCCUGAGGUCUGUGGAAUGAUUGGCCAGCAGGGACCUGCUGAACAGCACAGGACUCUCCCCAGUAUUCUGUGAUCAUCUAUGCGGGAGAAGAAUCCGAAAGAGAAUGGAUGUGUGUGCAUGGAUAACUGAAUCACUUUGAUGUGUAGCAGAAAUUGUCCACAACGUUGUAAAUCAACUAUACUUCAAUAAAAGUUUUUAAA